GAGUAACACGUGGGUAACCUGCCCAUCAGAAGGGGAUAACACUUGGAAACAGGUGCUAAUACCGUAUAACAAUCGAAACCGCAUGGUUUUGAUUUGAAAGGCGCUUUCGGGUGUCGCUGAUGGAUGGACCCGCGGUGCAUUAGCUAGUUGGUGAGGUUAAUCGGCUUCCACUCAAGGACCACCGAAUGGCAUAGCCGACCUGAGAGGGUGAUCGGCCACAUUGGGACUGGAGACACGGCCCAAACUCCUACGGGAGGCAGCAGUAGGGAAUUCUUCGGCAAUGGAACGAAAGUCUGAUCCGAGCAACGCCCGCGUGAGUGAAGAAGGUUUUCCGGAUCGUAAAACUCUGUUGUUAGAGAAGAACAAGGAUGAGAGUAACUGUUCAUCCCUUGACGGUAUCUAACCCAGAAAGGCCACGGCUAACUACGUGCCAGCAGCCGCGGUAAUACGUAGGUGGCAAGCGUUGUCCGGAUUUAUUGGGCGUAAAGCGAGCGCAGGCGGUUUCUUAAGUCUGAUGUGAAAGCCCCCGGCUCAACCGGGGAGGGUCAUUGGAAACUGGGAGACUUGAGUGCAGAAGAGGAGAGUGGAAUUCCAUGUGUAGCGGUGAAAUGCGUAGAUAUAUGGAGGAACACCAGUGGCGAAGGCGGCUCUCUGGUCUGUAACUGACGCUGAGGCUCGAAAGCGUGGGGAGCAAACAGGAUUAGAUACCCUGGUAGUCCACGCCGUAAACGAUGAGUGCUAAGUGUUGGAGGGUUUCCGCCCUUCAGUGCUGCAGCUAACGCAUUAAGCACUCCGCCUGGGGAGUACGACCGCAAGGUUGAAACUCAAAGGAAUUGACGGGGGCCCGCACAAGCGGUGGAGCAUGUGGUUUAAUUCGAAGCAACGCGAAGAACCUUACCAGGUCUUGACAUCCUUUGACCACUCUAGAGAUAGAGCUUCCCCUUCGGGGGCAAAGUGACAGGUGSUGCAUGGUUGUCGUCAGCUCGUGUCGUGAGAUGUUGGGUUAAGUCCCGCAACGAGCGCAACCCUUAUUGUUAGUUGCCAUCAUUCAGUUGGGCACCUCUAGCAAGACUGCCGGAUGACAAACCGGAGGAAGGUGGGGAUGGACGUCAAAUCAUCAUGCCCCUUACUGGACUCUGGGCUUACACACGUGCUACCAAUGGGGGAAAGUAUCAACCCGAGUGUGCGAAGUCGCGAGGCUAAGCUAAUCUCUUAAAGCUUCUCUCAGUUCGGAUUGCAGGCUGCAACUCGCCUGCAUGAAGCCGGAAUCGCUAGUAAUCGCGGAUCAGCACGCCGCGGUGAAUACGUUCCCGGGCCUUGUACACA
Molecule: ribosomal RNA, 1326 nt
Filed under: Enterococcus faecium
Lineage: Bacteria; Bacillati; Bacillota; Bacilli; Lactobacillales; Enterococcaceae
Description: bacterial SSU rRNA
Rfam family: Bacterial small subunit ribosomal RNA
Source: RNAcentral